Molecule: small nuclear RNA, 23 nt
Filed under: Arabidopsis thaliana (thale cress)
Lineage: Eukaryota; Viridiplantae; Streptophyta; Magnoliopsida; Brassicales; Brassicaceae
Description: snRNA_03163
Source: RNAcentral
UUCUGAAUAAAUGCUCAGAAUCU